ACGGAAGGCAGCAGUGGGGAAUAUUGCACAAUGGGCGAAAGCCUGAUGCAGCGACGCCGCGUGAGCGAAGAAGUAUUUCGGUAUGUAAAGCUCUAUCAGCAGGGAAGAUAAUGACGGUACCUGACUAAGAAGCACCGGCUAAAUACGUGCCAGCAGCCGCGGUAAUACGUAUGGUGCAAGCGUUAUCCGGAUUUACUGGGUGUAAAGGGAGCGUAGGCGGUUUUACAAGUCUGAUGUGAAAGCCCGGGGCUCAACUCCGGUAUUGCAUUGGAAACUGUAGAACUAGAGUGUCGGAGGGGUAAGUGGAAUUCCUAGUGUAGCGGUGAAAUGCGUAGAUAUUAGGAGGAACACCAGUGGCGACGGCGGCUUACUAGACGAUUACUGACGCUGAGGCUCGAAAGCGUGGGGAGCAAACAGGAUUAGAUACCCUGGUA
RNAcentral lists this ribosomal RNA (434 nucleotides) under uncultured Pseudobutyrivibrio sp. RNAcentral describes it as "partial 16S ribosomal RNA". It matches the Rfam family "Bacterial small subunit ribosomal RNA", at positions 341 to 792 of the family's 1533-position model. Lineage: Bacteria; Bacillati; Bacillota; Clostridia; Lachnospirales; Lachnospiraceae. The record is from RNAcentral.